RNAcentral lists this long non-coding RNA (418 nucleotides) under Mytilus galloprovincialis (Mediterranean mussel). The record is from RNAcentral. Lineage: Eukaryota; Metazoa; Mollusca; Bivalvia; Mytilida; Mytilidae.
GUUUUUUGUCUUGAUAUUAGUUUGAUUCACUGUCUCAAAUAAAGGUCAUGUCUAAUGCAUUUUGAAUGUUGCGAUAUAUGUAAUAAAUUGUAAAUACACUUGUACAUAACACAAACUAUUCAUUAUCAUUAUAAUAUUUCAUUAUUGUUGAUCAUUAUCCUUGGCUAUAUUUUACAUAUAAGUGUGAUCUUUUAUAAAAAUAAAGUUCAGAUUUUGGCAAUUAAACCAAUAAGAAAACAAAAUAGGGUAGUGCGUCUCAGUUCUAUACAAAAGCAAUGAUAAGGAACCAAUUUAAUGACAGAAAUUUAGAAGAAAUUAUGAUUUCAUUCUGAAAAAAAUAGCUAUAAUAAAACAUCUUCUGAAAGUUUUACUGCAUCUGAUAAAUACGUGACAGUUAUAAUUCGCCAUUGUAUUAAUG